Malania oleifera is the source of this 106-nucleotide small nucleolar RNA. The record is from RefSeq and is a predicted model, not a curated record. NCBI's taxonomy places the organism in Eukaryota, Viridiplantae, Streptophyta, Magnoliopsida, Santalales, Ximeniaceae.
ACCUGAUGGUGUGGACAUUUAUGUAAUAGGUCCCUAAAACACUCCCAGGUCUCGAAGAACUGUUCCCCAUCCAACUGUGAGAAACUAGUAAUGACCCUCUUAAACU